UACGGAGGGGGCUAGCGUUGUUCGGAAUUACUGGGCGUAAAGGGCGCGUAGGCGGCGCGAUAAGUUGGGCGUGAAAGGCCCGGGCUCAACCCGGGGACUGCGCUUGAUACUGUCGCGCUGUGAGUCCGGGAGAGGAUGGCGGAAUUCCCAGUGUAGAGGUGAAAUUCGUAGAUAUCGGAAGGAACACCAGUGGCGAAAGCGGCUUCCUGGUCCAGCACCGACGUUCAGGCACGAAAGCGUGGGGAGCAAACAGG
This 254-nucleotide ribosomal RNA is filed under the name uncultured bacterium. RNAcentral's name for it is "partial 16S ribosomal RNA". It matches the Rfam family "Bacterial small subunit ribosomal RNA", at positions 524 to 776 of the family's 1533-position model. The record is from RNAcentral.